Aotus nancymaae (Ma's night monkey) is the source of this 286-nucleotide unclassified non-coding RNA. It matches the Rfam family "Metazoan signal recognition particle RNA". From Rfam's summary of the family: The signal recognition particle (SRP) is a universally conserved ribonucleoprotein. It is involved in the co-translational targeting of proteins to membranes. The eukaryotic SRP consists of a 300-nucleotide 7S RNA and six proteins: SRPs 72, 68, 54, 19, 14, and 9. NCBI's taxonomy places the organism in Eukaryota, Metazoa, Chordata, Mammalia, Primates, Aotidae. The record is from Ensembl.
GCGGGAUGUGGUGGCACAUGCCAUUAGUCCCAGCUACUCAGGAGGCUUAGGCAUGAGAAUCGCUUGAGCCCAGGAGUUCUGGGUUGUAGUGCGCUAUGCCCAUUGGAUGUCUGCACUAAGUUCAGCAUCAAGAUGGUGACCUCCCAGGAGUGGGGACCACAAGGUUGCUUAAGGAAAAGUGAACCGGCCCAGGUCUGAAAUGGAGCAGGUCAAAAUUCCCAUGCUAAUUAGUAGUAGGAUCGUGCCUGGGCAACGUGGUCAGACCUCAUCUCAAAAACAAAAACAA